AGACAUCUGUUCCUUUAAUAUGAUAUUUUAUAUCAUGUUAGAUUUCAGAAUGUCUUAGAAUAAAUGAAUUGCUUCACCCAGAAUUGUAAUAUAUUUUACACUGUCUGGUUUUUGCGGGUUCAAACAAAU
Melipona quadrifasciata is the source of this 129-nucleotide small nucleolar RNA. It matches the Rfam family "Small nucleolar RNA SNORA79". Rfam says of the family: ACA65 (SNORA79) is a member of the H/ACA class of snoRNAs that guide the sites of modification of uridines to pseudouridines. This snoRNA was identified by computational screening and its expression in mouse experimentally verified by Northern blot and primer extension analysis. NCBI's taxonomy places the organism in Eukaryota, Metazoa, Arthropoda, Insecta, Hymenoptera, Apidae. The record is from Rfam.